Non-coding RNA from Aegilops tauschii subsp. strangulata, 3604 nucleotides. The record is from RefSeq and is a predicted model, not a curated record. Lineage: Eukaryota; Viridiplantae; Streptophyta; Magnoliopsida; Poales; Poaceae.
UACUCCUAAUGACAUCUCUACUCCUAAUGUCUCAGUUGAUAGUCUCCGUCCCACGGUUAAUUUUCGUCCCAUCUUUUCUGGUUUAUUUUCGUCCUCCCUCCCACCUUGCAGGUAGAGAGGUCGACAAAAAAACUCCCAGCGACCCCUCCACGUCGGUCGAACCAAGGGCAAACCUCCCGUCGCAGAAAGGGCGGAAAAAACCUACGAAAUUAAACCAGCGAAAAAAAUCUACGAAAUUAAACCAGCGAAUCGGUCGCACGAGGCCCCCUGCCCUCGUGCGAGAGCGAGAACCACUCGCACGCACGACUCGUUUGUGUAAAGGAAAAAAACACGACCACAGGAGGAGCACGGGCUCGCCUCCUCUCCCUCUCGCCCACUAAGUCAUCGCCGCCGCCACCACCACGCACGCCGGCCGCUUCCAGCGACCUCCGGCGCCGUGCAGCACGCCCCCGAGCUCCCCACCGUCCGCGCCUCCCUCCCCUCCGGCCAUAUUCUCCGCUCCCAUCCUCUACCGCCCGCUCGCAACCCCACCACCAUGGCUAGGGUUUCGGGCAGGGCUUCGCCGGAGCCACGAGCGCGACAACAGCGGCGGUGGCUCGGAGCCACGACCGUGAAUGCCGGAGCCCAUCGAGUCGCGCAAGCACCCCAACUGCUUCCUCCAGUCGCCCCCCUCCAUGGCUACAUCUUGGUCUCGCUUAGCUAUCAGUACAGUGCAGAUUGGUUUCUCUAUUCAAUUGAUUUGGCUGUCUAUGUACUACCUGAAUUCCAAGAAAGAAGUCCACAUAACCCCCUAGGACUUCACAAACCAGCCAGUUUACCCCCUAAGUUUUAAAACCGGGUAUCUAACCCCCCGUUCAUUCCUAAACCAGGCGAAUCACCCCCUAGCACGGAUCAGAGUGGUUUCGUAGGCGGUUUUGUUGACGUAGCAAGGUGCAGCUCGUUUCUGAUCUGCACCCGGCCUUGUCCACAUCCUCCUCCGGGCACGAGCGGCGUUGUGCCACUCGCGGUGCUCACCGAGUCCCAUUCUUGUAAUUGUGUGCAUCUCGACGCCACCCUCCACCUCCACGUCUCCAGGUUUCCAUGCACACUCGGAAGGCAUCCUCUCCAUCAGGCGGACGACAUUGUCGAACCUGCCGCUCUGGCCCGGCGCAUGCCCCCGGGGUUCGAGGGAUCCUUCUGGACGUCUACACCGUCGCAUCCGUGCUGCGCAGUCGCGGCUGCGCGCUGGGGUGCACCCACCGUACAACCCGCCAGCUGACGCAAGUACUGGCAAGAGAUCAUCCAUGUACUACCAUCGACCAGUGGCUCUUGUACUCAAGCUCUCUGAGGCGGACGGUGGUGGGGCGGUCGUGGUCGUCUACGAUGGUGACAAGCAGGACAUGGGUGCGGGAAGCAGCGAGGAGCAGCGUAUUUGUGGAUGUUGUCCAGAUCGCGCGUGAACGCAAGCUCAGCCGAAGACAAUACACAAGUAUAUAGCUGCUGGAUCGAUUCCCUCCUCGACAAACACACACAUACACACAAGACAACUACACAAGUACGUGCCACCAAGUCUGAGACGGACAUGAUCACAAUUCACACAACCUAAUCGUGUUUAGCUCUAAUAACCAAUAAUGGAUGUCGACAGCUGCCGGCGGCAGCCGCAGGCGGCACGGGUGCCAGCUCAGUAGGCGACGGUGCAGUGUUGUCCCGGAGAACGAAGCGGACGCUCGCCGGCAAUAGGCUGCCGAGGCGACUACGGUACGGCAGCGCACGAGAAACUGCAAGCCGAGAUUGCAUGCGAGCCAAACGACAGUCAGUGUGCUUGCUUUCUGGAGCACGAUGCCUAACGAGGAGCUGGUGCUUCACAAGGAGCCGGGAGCCUUGCCAAUUUGCCAUCCCAUUACACACCAUAAUUUUUUACCGGAGGCGGAGGCCGAUGAAAGGCAAUUCGUGAACCACAGGCUGAGCUUCCUCGUGGCCGGCUGCUGGCUGGUGCUGCUGCCUACCAGUGCCUGAAUGACGCAAGUAGUUUGGGUGCGAUGACCUGAGCAACAUGCGACGGGAGAAAGCUGGGCGGAGGAACUGUAUCGACGAGACGACAACCUCGCACCCACAACCUUUCCACUUCACCCAAACCGCCUGAAAAACCACUCUGAUCGGUGCUAGGGGGUGAUUCAUUUGGUUUAGGAAAGUACAGGGGGUUAAAUACCCGGUUUUAGACCUUAGGGGGUAAACAGGCCGGUUUGUGAAAUCCUAGGGGGUUAAAGUGGACUUCUUUCGAAUUCCAAGGGAACCAACUUACAUGGCGUAAUGGAUGGAGAUCAGUAGAUGUUUUCCUGAUCUGUUCACUUGUUUUUGAUAGUUCCCGUCAGAUUACAAGCAUGGGCUUUGUGCAGUAGGCAGAAAUCUUUUUGUAAUCAAUCAAAGACAAUGCGAACGUUUACUGAAAACUUUGUAAGUGUUGAUCCUAUGAAUUGCUUUGAUUGGAAGUCCAACGAUGAUCUCAUCUUAUUAGGAACUCAUUUUUCAAACAUAUGCAUUGGUAGUUUUUAUCUCUUUGCUUUUGCGUUCUGAACAUACUGGAUUGCACUCUGUAGGAGAUGGCACAGUGCUGCAAACAACUCAUUAUAGUAGUUAGCAAAUGCAAAUCAUUGUAUAUUGUUAGUUAUGUGUCUUUUCAUAUGAAAUACUAUUAUUUUGGGGAAAGGAAUCUGGCUGAGUUUUAAUAAAACACCUCAGAUUUUGUAUGGUGAGAUUGUCUUCAGCAAACAAGAUAUGUAUUGUUAUUGGGUUCUUUUAUUUUUGUUCUAGGUGUUAUUGGGGAGUAUUUUUUCAUGGUUGGAAACAAGAUGUUGCUGGUGUUGGAGCCCGCAGAGAAGGGUAUUAUAUUAGUCUACUUACUUCUGAAGGUGCACUAGAAGAUAGUGGAUGUCCAGAUUCUUUGGCCUCAGAAAGGUGGUGAUAAAAAUCCUGAAGUAUUGUCAGCAUUUUCCUCUAAAAAUGGAAAGGGCAAAUAAAGAAGUUUACGGUACUAAGCUUGACGCUGCUCGGUGUGUUGUUCUUCGUCGGCGUGGAGCUAGCUGUCGCCGCUAUGGUACAUGUACCUGUUGGCUCCGCUUGACGUAGUUCGCGAUGGACAUAGACAUGGGAACAUCACGACGGAGAUCUUCCACUUCAACCAGCGGUUCUGGGGUGACUGUGGCGGUCGGCCGGUGACCAAGCUCAAAAUCUGGUUCAGCGUCAACGGUGGGCUGCGCUCCAGUGCGAGGGGUGGUGGUGGCGCUUCGAGGAGGAGACAGCUGCGAGCCUUCGUCGGUUGCUUUGUGUACUUCUACUUUUCACUCUCAGAAUCAAUUCGCGAUUCCAUGGUGAGUCAUUACCAACCAAAUUAUGGUUGGUUCUGCUCUAGGCAGCAGAUCAGGAAGCAACAAGCCCCAUCUCUCUGGUGCUCCAGUAGUGGAUAUUGCUGAAAUAGCUAAAGGAUUUAGUUGUAACACUUUCUCUGAACUUUACUCAACAAGCAAGUUUUCCAAAAAUUGAAGUCGAAUUUUUUCAGGGUUCCUGUACAUAUACACAAAUAGUGGGAAAUUAAAAGCCCUUAGAUAUUGUUGUGCUCUUUUGAAAA